UGCAGCGACGCCGGGUGAGGGAUGACGGCCUUCGGGUUGUAAACCUCUUUCAGCAGGGAAGAAGCGAAAGUGACGGUACCUGCAGAAGAAGCGCCGGCUAACUACGUGCCAGCAGCCGCGGUAAUACGUAGGGCGCAAGCGUUGUCCGGAAUUAUUGGGCGUAAAGAGCUCGUAGGCGGUUUGUCGCGUCUGCUGUGAAAACUCGAGGCUCAACCUCGGGCCUGCAGUGGGUACGGGCAGACUAGAGUGCGGUAGGGGAGACUGGAAUUCCUGGUGUAGCGGUGGAAUGCGCAGAUAUCAGGAGGAACACCGAUGGCGAAGGCAGGUCUCUGGGCCGCAACUGACGCUGAGGAGCGAAAGCAUGGGGAGCG
Molecule: ribosomal RNA, 371 nt
Filed under: uncultured Cellulomonas sp.
Lineage: Bacteria; Bacillati; Actinomycetota; Actinomycetes; Micrococcales; Cellulomonadaceae
Description: bacterial SSU rRNA
Rfam family: Bacterial small subunit ribosomal RNA
Source: RNAcentral